This 2812-nucleotide ribosomal RNA is filed under the name Campylobacter coli. RNAcentral describes it as "bacterial LSU rRNA". It matches the Rfam family "Bacterial large subunit ribosomal RNA". Lineage: Bacteria; Pseudomonadati; Campylobacterota; Epsilonproteobacteria; Campylobacterales; Campylobacteraceae. The record is from RNAcentral.
AGCUACUAAGAGCGAAUGGUGGAUGCCUUGACUGGUAAAGGCGAUGAAGGACGUACUAGACUGCGAUAAGCUACGGGGAGCUGUCAAGAAGCUUUGAUCCGUAGAUUUCCGAAUGGGGCAACCCAAUGUAUAGAGAUAUACAUUACCUAUAUAGGAGCGAACGAGGGGAAUUGAAACAUCUUAGUACCCUCAGGAAAAGAAAUCAAUAGAGAUUGCGUCAGUAGCGGCGAGCGAAAGCGCAAGAGGGCAAACCCAGUGCUUGCACUGGGGGUUGUAGGACUGCAAUGUGCAAGAGGUGAGUUUAGCAGAACAUUCUGGAAAGUAUAGCCAUAGAGGGUGAUAGUCCCGUAUGCGAAAAACAAACCUUAGCUAGCAGUAUCCUGAGUAGGGCGGGACACGAGAAAUCCUGUCUGAAGCUGGGUCGACCACGAUCCAACCCUAAAUACUAAUACCAGAUCGAUAGUGCACAAGUACCGUGAGGGAAAGGUGAAAAGAACUGAGGUGAUCAGAGUGAAAUAGAACCUGAAACCAUUUGCUUACAAUCAUUCAGAGCCCUAUGUAGCAAUACAGGGUGAUGGACUGCCUUUUGCAUAAUGAGCCUGCGAGUUGUGGUGUCUGGCAAGGUUAAGCAAACGCGAAGCCGUAGCGAAAGCGAGUCUGAAUAGGGCGCUUAGUCAGAUGCUGCAGACCCGAAACGAAGUGAUCUAUCCAUGAGCAAGUUGAAGCUAGUGUAAGAACUAGUGGAGGACUGAACCCAUAGGCGUUGAAAAGCCCCGGGAUGACUUGUGGAUAGGGGUGAAAGGCCAAUCAAACUUCGUGAUAGCUGGUUCUCUCCGAAAUAUAUUUAGGUAUAGCGUUGUGUCGUAAUAUAAGGGGGUAGAGCACUGAAUGGGCUAGGGCAUACACCAAUGUACCAAACCCUAUCAAACUCCGAAUACCUUAUAUGUAAUCACAGCAGUCAGGCGGCGAGUGAUAAAAUCCGUCGUCAAGAGGGAAACAACCCAGACUACCAGCUAAGGUCCCUAAAUCUUACUUAAGUGGAAAACGAUGUGAAGUUACUUAAACAACCAGGAGGUUGGCUUAGAAGCAGCCAUCCUUUAAAGAAAGCGUAAUAGCUCACUGGUCUAGUGAUUUUGCGCGGAAAAUAUAACGGGGCUAAAGUAAGUACCGAAGCUGUAGACUUGCGCACAACUUAGAUUAUUUAAGUUUAGAAUAUGAGAAACUAAGUUAUAUGUUUAGUUAUAUUUUUACUGAUUUUUAUAGAGUAAAGAUAGAAAUAAAACUUAGUAAAAUCAGUAAAAAUAUUCUUAGACUAAAGUUAAGUAGUUUAAGUUGUGUGCAAGUGGUAGGAGAGCGUUCUAUUUGCGUCGAAGGUAUACCGGUAAGGAGUGCUGGAGCGAAUAGAAGUGAGCAUGCAGGCAUGAGUAGCGAUAAUUAAUGUGAGAAUCAUUAACGCCGUAAACCCAAGGUUUCCUACGCGAUGCUCGUCAUCGUAGGGUUAGUCGGGUCCUAAGUCGAGUCCGAAAGGGGUAGACGAUGGCAAAUUGGUUAAUAUUCCAAUACCAACAUUAGUGUGCGAUGGAAGGACGCUUAGGGCUAAGGGGGCUAGCGGAUGGAAGUGCUAGUCUAAGGUCGUAGGAGGUUAUACAGGCAAAUCCGUAUAACAAUACUCCGAGAACUGAAAGGCUUUUUGAAGUCUUCGGAUGGAUAGAAGAACCCCUGAUGCCAUCGAGCCAAGAAAAGUUUCUAAGUUUAGCUAAUGUUGCCCGUACCGUAAACCGACACAGGUGGGUGGGAUGAGUAUUCUAAGGCGCGUGGAAGAACUCUCUUUAAGGAACUCUGCAAAAUAGCACCGUAUCUUCGGUAUAAGGUGUGGUUCGCUUCGUAUUAGGAUUUACUCCGAAAGCGAAGAAACUUACAACAAAGAGUCCCUCCCGACUGUUUACCAAAAACACAGCACUCUGCUAACUCGUAAGAGGAUGUAUAGGGUGUGACGCCUGCCCGGUGCUCGAAGGUUAAUUGAUGGGGUUAGCAUUAGCGAAGCUCUUGAUCGAAGCCCGAGUAAACGGCGGCCGUAACUAUAACGGUCCUAAGGUAGCGAAAUUCCUUGUCGGUUAAAUACCGACCUGCAUGAAUGGCGUAACGAGAUGGGAGCUGUCUCAAAGAGGGAUCCAGUGAAAUUGUAGUGGAGGUGAAAAUUCCUCCUACCCGCGGCAAGACGGAAAGACCCCGUGGACCUUUACUACAGCUUGACACUGCUAUUUGGAUAAGAAUGUGCAGGAUAGGUGGGAGGCUUUGAGUAUAUGACGCCAGUUGUAUAUGAGCCAUUGUUGAGAUACCACUCUUUCUUAUUUGGGUAGCUAACCAGCUUGAGUUAUCCUCAAGUGGGACAAUGUCUGGUGGGUAGUUUGACUGGGGCGGUCGCCUCCCAAAUAAUAACGGAGGCUUACAAAGGUUGGCUCAGAACGGUUGGAAAUCGUUCGUAGAGUAUAAAGGUAUAAGCCAGCUUAACUGCAAGACAUACAAGUCAAGCAGAGACGAAAGUCGGUCUUAGUGAUCCGGUGGUUCUGUGUGGAAGGGCCAUCGCUCAAAGGAUAAAAGGUACCCCGGGGAUAACAGGCUGAUCUCCCCCAAGAGCUCACAUCGACGGGGAGGUUUGGCACCUCGAUGUCGGCUCAUCGCAUCCUGGGGCUGGAGCAGGUCCCAAGGGUAUGGCUGUUCGCCAUUUAAAGCGGUACGCGAGCUGGGUUCAGAACGUCGUGAGACAGUUCGGUCCCUAUCUGCCGUGGGCGUAAGAAGAUUGAAGAGAUUU